GACGAACGCUGGCGGCGUGCUUAACACAUGCAAGUCGAACGGAAAGGCCCUGCUUUUGUGGGGUGCUCGAGUGGCGAACGGGUGAGUAACACGUGAGUAACCUGCCCUUGACUUUGGGAUAACUUCAGGAAACUGGGGCUAAUACCGGAUAGGAGCUCCUGCUGCAUGGUGGAGGUUGGAAAGUUUCGGCGGUUGGGGAUGGACUCGCGGCUUAUCAGCUUGUUGGUGGGGUAGUGUCUUACCAAGGCUUUGACGGGUAGCCGGCCUGAGAGGGUGACCGGCCACAUUGGGACUGAGAUACGGCCCAGACUCCUACGGGAGGCAGCAGUGGGGAAUAUUGCACAAUGGGCGGAAGCCUGAUGCAGCAACGCCGCGUGCGGGAUGACGGCCUUCGGGUUGUAAACCGCUUUCGCCUGUGACGAAGCGUGAGUGACGGUAAUGGGUAAAGAAGCACCGGCUAACUACGUG
RNAcentral lists this ribosomal RNA (468 nucleotides) under uncultured bacterium. Its description in RNAcentral is "partial 16S ribosomal RNA". It matches the Rfam family "Bacterial small subunit ribosomal RNA", at positions 28 to 507 of the family's 1533-position model. The record is from RNAcentral.